Molecule: unclassified non-coding RNA, 337 nt
Filed under: soil metagenome
Description: partial contains 5.8S ribosomal RNA, internal transcribed spacer 2, and large subunit ribosomal RNA
Rfam family: 5.8S ribosomal RNA (bases 1-120)
Source: RNAcentral
GAUGAAGAACGUAGCGAAAUGCGAUAAGUAGUGUGAAUUGCAGAAUUCAGUGAAUCAUCGAAUCUUUGAACGCACAUUGCGCCCCUUGGUAUUCCAUGGGGCAUGCCUGUUCGAGCGUCAUUUGUACCUUCAAGCUCUGCUUGGUGUUGGGUGUUUGUCUCGCCUCUGCGUGUAGACUCGCCUCAAAACAAUUGGCAGCCGGCGUAUUGAUUUCGGAGCGCAGUACAUCUCGCGCUUUGCACUCAUAACGACGACGGCCAAAAGUACAUUUUUACACUCUUGACCUCGGAUCAGGUAGGGAUACCCGCUGAACUUAAGCAUAUCAAUAAGCGGAGGA